UACGUAGGGUGCGAGCGUUGUCCGGAAUUAUUGGGCGUAAAGAGCUCGUAGGCGGUGUGUCACGUCGAUCGUGAAAACUUGGGGCUUAACUCUGAGCUUGCGGUCGAUACGGGCAUCACUGGAGUUCGGCAGGGGAGACUGGAAUUCCUGGUGUAGCGGUGAAAUGCGCAGAUAUCAGGAGGAACACCGGUGGCGAAGGCGGGUCUCUGGGCCGAUACUGACGCUGAGGCGCGAAAGCUAGGGGAGCAAACGGG
RNAcentral lists this ribosomal RNA (254 nucleotides) under uncultured bacterium. RNAcentral's name for it is "partial 16S ribosomal RNA". It matches the Rfam family "Bacterial small subunit ribosomal RNA", at positions 524 to 776 of the family's 1533-position model. The record is from RNAcentral.